Molecule: ribosomal RNA, 789 nt
Filed under: uncultured Bacillota bacterium
Lineage: Bacteria; Bacillati; Bacillota
Description: bacterial SSU rRNA
Rfam family: Bacterial small subunit ribosomal RNA
Source: RNAcentral
CAAGUCGAGUGCGCAGUCUUCUGUAGCAAUACAGGAGAUCGGCGCACGGCGCACGGGUGCGUAACACGUGGGUAACCUGCCCUCCAAUGGGGGAUAACCCGCCGAAAGGCGGGCUAAUACCGCAUGAUAUUCCGGUGGCUUCGGCCGCCGGAAUCAAAGCUCGAAAGGGCGUUGGUGGAGGGGCCCGCGGCCGAUUAGCUAGUUGGUGAGGUAACGGCUCACCAAGGCUUUGAUCGGUAGCCGGUCUGAGAGGAUGGCCGGCCACACUGGAACUGAGACACGGUCCAGACUCCUACGGGAGGCAGCAGUGGGGAAUCUUGCGCAAUGGGCGAAAGCCUGACGCANCGACGCCGCGUGGGGGAUGAAGCUUCUCGGAGUGUAAACCCCUUUCGACCCGGACGAAACGCCCGCAAGGGCUUGACGGUACGGGUAUAAGAAGCCCCGGCUAACUACGUGCCAGCAGCCGCGGUAAGACGUAGGGGGCCAGCGUUGCUCGGAAUUACUGGGCGUAAAGGGUUCGUAGGCGGUGCGGUAAGUCGGAAGUGAAAUCUCUGGGCUUAACUCAGAGGCUGCUUUCGAAACUGCCGUGCUAAAGUGCGGGAGAGGCGAGUGGAUUGCAGGUGUAGCGGUGAAAUGCGUAGAUAUCUGCAGGAACACCCGUGGCGAAGGCGGCUCGCUGGACCGCAACUGACGCUGAGGAACGAAAGCUAGGGGAAGCAACAGGAUUAGAUACCCUGGUAGUCCUAGCCCUAAACCAUCAGGACUUGGGGUGGCCCGCGUUGGCGGGUC